This is a non-coding RNA of Camellia sinensis, 4116 nucleotides long. The record is from RefSeq and is a predicted model, not a curated record. Lineage: Eukaryota; Viridiplantae; Streptophyta; Magnoliopsida; Ericales; Theaceae.
UCCCGCUCGUUUUUUCUCCCCCCCUCAACCAAAAAUUCCCAAAUCUCAAAUCCCUAAUUUUUGAACCAAUAAUCCCCAUCUCUGUCUCUCUCGCGACUGUGAGCAGGGCAGACGAUGGCGUCGAGUGACGGGGUUAAGGAGCCUCAAUCUUUUGUUUCUCACUCCGUUGGCUUUCCCUCUGUUGCUCUCAUUCUAGUGGCGAAGGAGCUGCUGAGAAACCUGAUGUGUAUGCGCACUGUCAGAUUACUCUCUCCCCUUCCAUAUCACAAGGAGGAAAGCGCCCUCUCUUUGCUCUUUCUAUAUCUCUCUGUAAUCGUAUUCAUAAUUCACGUUCUCAUCUCUUCUUCUUCUUCUUGUUUUUGGUUCUUCGCAUCUGUAAUCGCCAACCCGCUCUAUAUAUAGGAAUUCCAUUGGAAACCUUGUGUUUCCUUGACGAUCUGAUCUACAUAAUUGAAGUUUAGAUUUUUGAUUUCGGUUUCUCCUCUGAUCCGUCUCACAAAAUGCCUUCCGCUCUAAAAGUUGAGUAUUAUUUGGUUAAAGUUUUUCAGUUGAACAAGUCUCAUUUGUUGUUUGUUUGUUUAGUUUCUUUUGCAUCUCCCCACUUAACUAAUUUUUAGUUUGACUAGUUUACAUCUCUAUUCUCUGUGUAUUCAUUUCUACACUUCCUAAGUUUGAAAUGAGUGUUGUUGUUGAUUGGAGCAGGAUUGGGAGAUCAUUAAUGAUUUGAGGAUCGACAUGGCUAGGCUUGCAUCAAAAAAUUUAUUAAGGUAACUGAUCUUCAUUUUGUUUUCUUUUCCUUUCAAAUUAGAGCCUUGCAUAGUUUAUCAUUUGCUUGAGCAAUAACCACUAAAGAGGUAGAUAAAAAUAUUUGGUUUUAUUUGAUGAAAAGCUAUUGGAGCAUCCCAUCAAGCUUUUAACCAAUUUUUACUCAAACUUGAUGCUCUUAUAAAUCCAUUUUUCUAAAAAAAAGCACUAGGUCAUUUGGCAUGUCCAUUUCCCACCAAAAAUCCAACUUUAGCCACUUAAAAAUGCCAGUAGUUAAGCCGAAAAUGCUAGAAAGCUAGCAUUUUGGGAACUGUAUGAUUAAGGAAAAAAAAAACCUUAUGUAUUUUUCUCUAUUAACUUUGUAGAACAGUCUUGUGUUUCCAUGAUAGGCAAUUUUAGCAAAAGCUGUUUCCAAUUACUUUGUUAAUGCUUUAUAAUUUGUUCUGUGUUUUAUCUCUGUCUCUCUCAAACUUGUUUACUUCAAAUAUCAAGUUGUAAUAUUUCCAAGUUCCAGGCAGAGAAGAUGGUUCUGGUUGCUUAUGGAUGGAGGCAUACAAUAUCUGUCUCAUCUUCUGGUGGUUUAUACACUUAUGGGUGGAGUAAGUAUGGUCAAUUAGGACAUGGAGAUUUUGAAGACCACCUCAUACCUCAUAGGCGGGAAGCCCUGCGUGAAAAUUUUAUUUCACAGGUAACCUUUUCGGUUUUCAUGGAGUUGAUUAUGAUUUCCUAAUUUGGUAUCAGUUCCUUUAUGUUCUUUUCUUUAGACAGGAAAAUCUAGUGAAAAGAAUAAGAAUAUGGAAUUUGUUGUAUUCUUUAUUUGCUUGAAUUUGUUGUUUAGAGAUCUCAAUACUCUGUUCUCUUUCUCUGCCUUCUUGGUGACAAGGUACUGUUUAAUGAGUCAAUAGAGUUCGGUUGAUGUAUUUCAACUUGUGAAGAGUUUAGUUGCUGUGUGGUUGACAGAGAUUUUGAAAUUUUUAAAGGAAUUUGCUUAAUAAAAGAGCAUCAGAAUGUUUAGUUAAAGGAGGUGCAUAUGAUACACACCCUAUAACGGGUAUGUACCGAAGGGGUUCCCAUAUUAUAUUACUUGGUCCAUUGGCCUUAAUGUUUAGUUAAAGGAGAAUAUUGCUGGUUUUGAUUUCUUAUAUGGGGUCUUUUUUAAUUAUCACUAUCUUUUGCUGGUUUGGUUUUUCACUUGCAGAAAGUAGUUCAGAUCUCAUGUGGGUGGAGGCAUACACUUGCUUUUACUAAAAGACAAAAUGUAUUUUCUUGGAGAAGAGGUACAAAUGGACAGCUUGGGCAUGGGGAGUCAGUUGACCGAAACAUUCCAAAGAUGAUAGAAUCUCUGAGUGCGGAUGGAUCUAGUGGACAACAGAUAGAAUCUUUAAAACUUGACCCAUCUACAGGGAAAGCUUUGGUUUCUCCAAUUGAGAGAUAUGCAGUUGUUCCUGAUGACAAUGUAAGUGUUCUUUCCACAGUCUUCAUUGUCUUCAUUACUGGUGUUUAAAUAGUUAGAAUGUGUGGAACACCUGCUAAUAGAUGAUGGAAGCUAAUAGAUGAUGGAAGCGGCACUCAUUAAAAGAAAAAAAAAAGGAGUGGUGGAAGAGGCAAGAUUAAGUGUUCUUACGAGUAAAUCAAAUUCUAGGGCUUGAAGCUACAAACUAGUUAUUCAUAUUUAAGUUUCAACAAGCACUGCAUAGUGCAAUACAAAUGAUAUUUAAGCAUACACGUAUUUGAAUAUGAUUGGAGGACAUUUGAAAUUUGUCAAAUAUUACAAAGUCUGUCACUAACACAGUUCUUUUCUGGCAUAUGAACUUUGUACGUUGUGAAUCCUAGUUCUUAUCUUUGCUCUGUUACUAUCAUGGGGAUUUAUGUAUUAGCUUUUAUCUCUUAAUGAUUUUGAUGGUAUUUAUUGCUUUGUUCUAGAUUUUCUUCAAAAAGAUUAUAAUUUGCAACUGUUAUCUAUUUAUUUGUAGGUCAAAAGAACAAAUUUUGCCGAGGGGAAGAUCUGAUUCUAGAAGUAAGGAAUUUGCAGCUUGAUUUUUGAAAUAGGCCCAAAAUUGAAAUCUUGUUGGAAAUUUUUUAUUUUUUGUAAGAGCAUUUAAAUAUCCAAGUGUGCUUAUUGGUGAAUAUCAGAUUUUAUUUUAUUAUUUUACUUUUUUUUAGGAUUGGGGUGAAUUUUAUAAUUUAAAUAUGCUUUUAUGAACAUGUACAGUUUAAUUGUUCUUUGUAAAAUAUUGAAUUUGAUGGUUUUAUUAAUUUUUAUUUUCUGUUAUGAUGUUUUUGUGAAUGGAAUGUAAAUAACCAACUCAGAGCAUAUUUUAUAUUAAUUAAAUUAUGAAAUUAAGUAAAAAGGUGGCGUUUUUGUUCAAAACGCCACUAUAUCUUGUGACGUCAUCAAUUUGACAUAAUUAUUUAAGCAGAUUUAAUAGUAUACUGAUGUUUAUGAAAACGUCACUAUAAGUAUCAGUGAUGUUUAUAAAACGCCUUAUACUUAUAGCGACGGCGUUUUGCCAUCGCAAAAAAGCAAUUUUUUGUUGAAACGUAACGCCUUUAGCGACGGUUUUAUUGCCGUUGCCAAUAGCUCUUUAGCGACGGUUCAGGUGCUGUCUCAAAUAAACCUUUAGCGACGGUAUUUUUGUCGUCGCAAAAGACCUUUUUAGCGACUGCAACACAGUGCUGUCUCAGAAAAACUCAGAUUUUCACGCGUUAUUUGCGAUAGAAUUUUUCCGUCACAAAAAAGGCACUUUACCGUCCCAAAAAAAGGCGACGGCGUUAUGCCGUCGCUAAAACCCUUUUGCAACCCCCUUUGUUGCGACCCCCCACUUGCCGUCGCAAAAAGCUAUUUACCGUCGCAAAAAACCUUUUGAGACGGCAUUUGGGGUAUUUGCGACGGCGUUUUACCGUCGCAAAAAAGCAAUUUUUUUGUAGUGUCACCAUCUUAUCCGAACACUUUUAAUCUCUAUCCGAUGAAUUUUCGAUUAUGGGUCCCACUCAGAAUAAACAAAGAUCAGGAUGAUUGUGAGCUGGGCUUAAUAUUUGACGGCUGAGAUUUUCUAGGUGGAGAGCACCAUAUGGUGGCAUGUAUCCAAUCUUGUCUACCCCCCUAAAGUUGGAUGGACGGUGGAAAAUCGUGUUGGGCCCACGUGAUUGUACAGGUGGAGAUUAUUCCAUAUGUCGUUCUUCACCUUCUUACUUGUUUGACCCAUUAAAGAAUAUUUUAAACGUGUCCUCCAAUUUAACGUAAGUUUCGGAAUUUUCUUUUAUAUCAAAAAAUAAAUAAAUAUUUAAAUACAGGAUUUAUUUGGGAGGUACUAAUUUAGUAUAUUAUUUUAUCUUAUUUAAGUUAUAGUA